GACGAACGCUGGCGGCGUGCUUAACACAUGCAAGUCGAACGGAAAGGCCCUGCUUUUGUGGGGUGCUCGAGUGGCGAACGGGUGAGUAACACGUGAGUAACCUGCCCUUGACUUUGGGAUAACUUCAGGAAACUGGGGCUAAUACCGGAUAGGAGCUCCUGCUGCAUGGUGGGGGUUGGAAAGUUUCGGCGGUUGGGGAUGGACUCGCGGCUUAUCAGCUUGUUGGUGGGGUAGUGGCUUACCAAGGCUUUGACGGGUAGCCGGCCUGAGAGGGUGACCGGCCACAUUGGGACUGAGAUACGGCCCAGACUCCUACGGGAGGCAGCAGUGGGGAAUAUUGCACAAUGGGCGGAAGCCUGAUGCAGCAACGCCGCGUGCGGGAUGACGGCCUUCGGGUUGUAAACCGCUUUCGCCUGUGACGAAGCGUGAGUGACGGUAAUGGGUAAAGAAGCACCGGCUAACUACGUGCCAGCAGCCGCGGUGAUACGUAGGGUGCGAGCGUUGUCCGGAUUUAUUGGGCGUAAAGGGCUCGUAGGUGGUUGAUCGCGUCGGAAGUGUAAUCUUGGGGCUUAACCCUGAGCGUGCUUUCGAUACGGGUUGACUUGAGGAAGGUAGGGGAGAAUGGAAUUCCUGGUGGAGCGGUGGAAUGCGCAGAUAUCAGGAGGAACACCAGUGGCGAAGGCGGUUCUCUGGGCCUUUCCUGACGCUGAGGAGCGAAAGCGUGGGGAGCGAACAGGCUUAGAUACCCUGGUAGUCCACGCUGUAAACGGUGGGUACUAGGUGUGGGGUCCAUUCCACGGGUUCCGUGCCGUAGCUAACGCUUUAAGUACCCCGCCUGGGGAGUACGGCCGCAAGGCUAAAACUCAAAGGAAUUGACGGGGCCCCGCACAAGCGGCGGAGCAUGCGGAUUAAUUCGAUGCAACGCGUAGAACCUUACCUGGGUUUGACAUGGAUCGGGAGUACUCAGAGAUGGGUGUGCCUCUUUUGGGGUCGGUUCACAGGUAGUGCAUGGCUGUCGUCAGCUCGUGUCGUGAGAUGUUGGGUUAAGUCCCGCAACGAGCGCAACCCUUGUUCACUGUUGCCAGCACGUUAUGGUGGGGACUCAGUGGAGACCGCCGGGGUCAACUCGGAGGAAGGUGGGGAUGACGUCAAGUCAUCAUGCCCCUUAUGUCCAGGGCUUCACGCAUGCUACAAUGGCUGGUACAGAGAGUGGCGAGCCUGUGAGGGUGAGCGAAUCUCGGAAAGCCGGUCUCAGUUCGGAUUGGGGUCUGCAACUCGACCUCAUGAAGUCGGAGUCGCUAGUAAUCGCAGAUCAGCAACGCUGCGGUGAAUACGUUCCCGGGGACU
RNAcentral lists this ribosomal RNA (1347 nucleotides) under uncultured bacterium. RNAcentral describes it as "bacterial SSU rRNA". It matches the Rfam family "Bacterial small subunit ribosomal RNA", at positions 28 to 1382 of the family's 1533-position model. The record is from RNAcentral.